UUUUGGGAGCUCACUGGCUUCAGAGUCAUGGGAACUCCGAAGUUAAGCGAGUUUUGGCUAGAGCAAUCCCAGGAUGGGUGACCCACAGGGAAGUUGAUCAUGAGUUCCAGAAA
Molecule: ribosomal RNA, 113 nt
Filed under: Prunus dulcis (almond)
Lineage: Eukaryota; Viridiplantae; Streptophyta; Magnoliopsida; Rosales; Rosaceae
Source: RNAcentral